GAGGAUGUGGCUCAGUGGUAGAGCUCUUGCCUUCCAUGCACAGGGCCCUGGGUUGGAGACACAGCACCUCCA
RNAcentral lists this transfer RNA (72 nucleotides) under Cavia porcellus (domestic guinea pig). It matches the Rfam family "tRNA". Rfam says of the family: Transfer RNA (tRNA) molecules are approximately 80 nucleotides in length. Their secondary structure includes four short double-helical elements and three loops (D, anti-codon, and T loops). The record is from Rfam by way of RNAcentral. Lineage: Eukaryota; Metazoa; Chordata; Mammalia; Rodentia; Caviidae.